UAAGAUCAAUUUCUACCAGCAAAAAGGAGUGAAAAUAAUAAAUCAGCAUGUUUUCUUGUACUCAUGUUGAGUUACAAAAUAGAGCAAUUGUAAGACAGUAUAUCUACCAAGUGACACAUCUAAAAUUGUGAUCGAUGCUCUUUCAUGUCAAUAAAGACAUCUAUUUUAGAAUCAAUUUUGAAACUCCAACAAAAAAUAUGUAUGUAUAUUUGUUGAGAUUGUUUGGACUUGUUCAAACAACAACAGCAUUUCCGAGGAGUCAGUCCGCAAAAAUUGAAAUGUCAGUCAAAUAUUUCAGAGAGGAUCAAUGGAACCCCAAUUCUGACUAUAGUCAAAUAAUUUCAGCAAGCUUCCAAACUGAGUGCUGAAGUAAUUUUUCCCAGGGGUGAGCGUGGUCCAUAUUGGUUCAGUUUGGAUUAAAACCAGAACCAAUCCGUUGUCUACGGUUUCAUAAAAAUUGGAAACAAAUCAAUCCAUUUAAAUCACAGAACCAAUCCGAAUCAAACCAUUUAAACAUGGUUUGGCUUGAUUUGGAAUCACGGUUUCACAUAAUCUAUUCACAAAGAAAAAUCAUGUAACAUUUUCAUUACAACAUUAAUUUACACAUGAUUUUUCAGAACAUAAACAUGCAUAUUGUUCUACCAUUAAUUUAAGCAAACAUUAUAUCUAGUAAAUAAACAUAUUGUUCAACAUGUAGCAAGCAUAAAACUCUCAUUAAACAAGAGGGUAGGAUAGUAUGCAUCGGGGGUGUAUGGUAUGUAUAUGGUCUAAGUUACAUACGGUUUGGAUCGGUUCUAAUCCGAAACCGUGAACUGAAAUCCAGAACCGAUUCGGGAGGAACAGUUUCUCAAGUUUCCAAUCUAGAAGCGAACCACGGAUUCAAAAAACCAAACAAAACCUAUCGGAUUAGAUUAAAUCAGUUCGAUUUGUAGAUUUUAUGGAUUCCUUGCUCAACCCUAGUUUUUCCACUUGAAAUACUUUUUUGAUUCUCUUCCAGUUUAUUCAGAUAAUUGACUAUGAACUAUUUUUGACCUCCUUGUUCAAUUUUUUAGGUUAAGGUAAAUAUUAAUGAUAAAUGAUACAUAUAAGGUAGUACAUUUGGGCUAGUAAGACGUACCGCUCAAAUCAGUACGAAAAGCUUAUAUGACAAUGUGUUUUGCAGCACUCUUAUUAAUCACUUUUGCUAGAUGGUUGAAGUAGGCCUACUGGAUAUAAUGUCUGUCUGUCUGAAAAUGUUUGCUGCAAGUUCUGAUCAACAGAUGGAAAAUGCAGGAUCAUGAAGAAACAGCAUGCCAGAAAAUGAAUGCAGUUUUAAUGAGAAUUUUGACACAUAUGCGUGGUAGCCUAUGGCUGCUCCGCCAGUCAGUUGUUAGCAUCCUUGGUGAUGUGGGUUCAAGUCACGUAAAUAGCCUCUGCAGAAACAGGGAUAAUGAUGGCAUGCCUCCACCAAAGCAUUAGCAUUGGAGGGAUCUUUGGAGAGCAAGAGCUUCUUAUUUUUAUUUUGUUUUAUUUUGUAUAGCCAGGGGCUAAAUGUGUAUGAGUUAGCUUCCUUUUGUUGUAACCAAACCAAGACUUGGAAAGAUGUAAACUCAAAGGGCAUUUAGUCAUGCUAAACUCUUUUUUAUUAUUAAUUUCAUGUAAUAAAAGGACUAUUUACUCU
Camellia sinensis is the source of this 1660-nucleotide long non-coding RNA. RefSeq lists it as uncharacterized. The record is from RefSeq and is a predicted model, not a curated record. NCBI's taxonomy places the organism in Eukaryota, Viridiplantae, Streptophyta, Magnoliopsida, Ericales, Theaceae.